UUCGCGCACUAAAUUCUAGAUUUGUGCUGUCGCCACCGCUUUGUCACCCCUUCACUAGAUCACCUCAUUUAUUUACCAAGCGCAUACCACAUUUCACAUUUCGUUAAAUGAGCAGAGACAACUGCAGUGGAUCAGCACCAAAUUGAAGAUUUCCUGUAGAGACAACAAAUUGUCAGUAGAUUUAAGUGAAUUAAGCGUAAGAGGAGGUGCGCGCACCGAGUGACUCCCAUGAGACAACAACCACCAUCACCACGACUAUUAUCAGCACAUCACAAAGUGAAAUAUUUAAUUCCGAAAGAGCCUAAACAGUAGUGAUAAAGUGACAAUUUCUUGAAAUGAGGCGAUGGAAAAAUUUUUAUGCACAAUUGAGUAAUGUCGCCUAUUCAUGGGAUGACAUCCUACGCCGCGUCUUUCCUAUAAACAAUUCAAUUCACUGUAAUGGGACGAAGAAGGCGAUUUUUGUGUGAAAAGUGAAACGAAAAUGAAGCGUCGUGAAUGAGCAAAUCAAAUUGAAUUGCUGAAAAGUGACUUUAAAAUGUGGCCGCAGUGGUGAAAUACGAGCACACGACUAGCUAUUUGGAGGCUAUGUUUGUAGUUAUGUUUGUGUGCAAUAGAAUAAUGAUUUUAAUUUUUUUUUUUUGAAUAAGUGAAAGGAAAUGAACUGCUGACAGCGGACAAGCGUUGAGCUUUACUUGGACACUAAAUUAUUUGUAAUACAACACCGCAGACGUUGAAGUUGGCAAAAAGAUGCUGUAGACACAGCUACGCAUCUUAAAUGAGCGGCAUAAAUAAAUGGAAAGGAAUAAAUUGAGUGAGAAGAAAUAAUAAUAAAUAAAUAAGUGAAAUUGACACAUGCAGUUGUAGAGCACCAAAAGCGAGGAGGCGUAGAAUGGGUGCCUAAACCAAAACAGCAGAAAAAAGCAAAAACAAACCCAAACUGCUAUUGAAGAAGUGUCAACGCAGCUGAAGGCAUUUCAAUAGUUCAACAGACAAAAGCCAGAUGAGCGUUGAAGGGUGAAGAUGAACGUUGACGGGUGCAGAGCAAAGCGUUGGCGCGCAUUUCGAUAACUAAGCCUCCUACGCCUGCUCCAUCUUCUCCAAAUCAGUGCACUCAAACCCACAUCAAACACACACUCAAGUGACAGCAUAAUAAUGACGCCCUGGCGGUUACAAUAACAAAACCGAAGUGAUCCGAUCGCCUAACGUACGAACUCAAAACGAUCAUGACAACAGCAUACGAGUACAAGCAAGAAAUAAUAAGAUUGUCAAGUGAAGCUGAUGAUAUGGGUUGGAUGAAAUAAACAGGAAAAAAAACAGCACUUCGUUAGCGAAUAGUUUGAGAGGCUUUGAGAGAAUGCAAAGAAUGAUGUGGUGUUUGGGGCAAAACAGAAAAAAUAAUUUAAUAAUUUCUGGAGCCGGCGUAAGUGAACAAUUUCAAUUCUUCAUAUCUGGAACGGAAAAGGUGAAAUCGUCCUGGGACUUAUACAUAACUAUAAUACUCACGGAAAAUUUUAAAAAAAACAAAAAACUACUGGAUAAACAAACCAAGCGCCAGCAUAAUCAACAGCCCAUCAAAGACUUGUGCGCUUUUAUUUAUUUGUCUAAAUGUUGACUGAGGAAAAACGUGUGAAUGCAUAGCUACAUAAAUGCGGUAAACUUUAGAGAAAAGCACCAGCCGGCAGCCACCAGUCACCAGUCAGCAGCCAGUAGUCACCAGCCAAUCAAAUUCAUGUUGUGCCAAUCACAAAGGUGGCACCACCACGCCGCCACCAGCCCCAGCAGACCACCCAAAUUUUAAUUUACACAAACAAGAAGAAAAAAAAAAAAAUUUGUUCAGAAUAUUUGUUGCUGUUGUCUCAGCAUUUAAAUUUCAAAUCAAAUGUCAUUCAUUCAAAACAUUCAAUCAAACAAACUCGUAAAUGCCACAAAACCAUCGCUAAAAUAAUAAAUUUUUCGUACAUAGGCAUUAUCUUUUUUAGUAGUUGUUGCUGUUGUCGUUACUGCUGUUUUUGCUGGCUGUAAUGUUGCAAAAUGUGUUUAUUUGUAUCCACAUAGUUGAUAUGUUGCGGUCUUGUUUGCAACUGUCAUACAUAUGCACAUACAAUUUGCACUCACACACAUACAUACAUGAGUGUGUACCUGUGUAGAUAAAUACCGCAAAACCACAUAAUCAAAUGCCUUAUAAAAAUAAACACUUUUUUCCUCAUUCACCGCUUAUGCUUAUUUUCUUGUUGG
Anastrepha ludens (Mexican fruit fly) is the source of this 2235-nucleotide long non-coding RNA. RefSeq lists it as uncharacterized. The transcript has 3 exons. The record is from RefSeq and is a predicted model, not a curated record. Lineage: Eukaryota; Metazoa; Arthropoda; Insecta; Diptera; Tephritidae.